UGGAGUAUAGCUCAGUGGUAGAGCACUUGCCUAGUAUGUGCAAGGCCUUGGUGUUCAAUUCUCUAUACUGCAA
This 73-nucleotide transfer RNA is filed under the name Marmota monax (woodchuck). It matches the Rfam family "tRNA". Rfam says of the family: Transfer RNA (tRNA) molecules are approximately 80 nucleotides in length. Their secondary structure includes four short double-helical elements and three loops (D, anti-codon, and T loops). The record is from Rfam by way of RNAcentral. Lineage: Eukaryota; Metazoa; Chordata; Mammalia; Rodentia; Sciuridae.